Molecule: long non-coding RNA, 416 nt
Organism: Protopterus annectens (West African lungfish)
Lineage: Eukaryota; Metazoa; Chordata; Ceratodontiformes; Protopteridae
Exons: 4
Source: RefSeq, a predicted model, not a curated record
AGAAAUACGAAGUGAAGGAGAAGGAGUUCUUAAUUGUGUGUUGUUGGCUGCGGACAGCUGUGUCACAGAUGGUACCUUAAAGACUCAGAAUUUUUUUUCAAACUGCCUGGAGAUGCUUCUGUGGAAAAUCACUUUACUGGGCCCUCUGACAGUUUUCUGUGGCAGUUCACAACUGCACCUCUCUUUGGAACUUUCAGUCGUGGCGGUCUUUCAGGUUUUCACAAGAAGUGUCUUUUCAGAAUCGAGCAGACGAAUCUGAAAGGGUAAGGUGGAUUCGUGAUGGCUGCUGUUGUACCCCAGACUUUCUGUGACAUCAUCCGGAUGGAAGGAGUUGAACACACCUGCUGCAAAUGUAGCACAUGGCUCAACAACCCCCAUUACACAGUCCAAGGAACAAGCAGAGAUGGCUGAAGGUG